Molecule: long non-coding RNA, 1842 nt
Organism: Gambusia affinis (western mosquitofish)
Lineage: Eukaryota; Metazoa; Chordata; Actinopteri; Cyprinodontiformes; Poeciliidae
Exons: 3
Source: RefSeq, a predicted model, not a curated record
CGACAGAACUAGUGGAUGAGAUUCUUCACAGCAUCUUUUUUUUGGGGAAAUUAACAAUCCAAGGAUUUCUCCUGGAGAGAUUUUUGCUAAUGAUGCUGACCUGCUUGAUUACUUACAGAAAGUCUAUCCGCAGCCUUUCAGACUUUAUUCCUCUCGUCUACCAAGACGGAGUCCAUUUUCAUGUGUGCUGGACAUGGUUGUUCAUAAGGAAGGUCAAGAAAAUGAGGAAGCUAUUAGAAAUACCCUGCAGCAACUCAUCAAUCCUUUGGUGAGAGAAACUCGCAAACCGAGGUUGAGUUCCACCACAAUCUGCAUCUCUGCUGGCACCACAGAUUCAGAGAGACACUAUGGAGUCUCCAUGUCCACCACUGGUCGUCCUGCAGGCCGAAUCAUGAUUGCUGCAUCCUGCCUUAACUUCUGGGAGGAACAUGAAGCCGAUGCAGUGAUGAGCUACCAUCCUGUAGAAGAUAAUACGACAGACUUUAAUAUAACCAUCCAACUUCCUGAAGGUGUCAGAUGUAACGCCUUUGACCUUAUAGACGGAACAGUAAAAAGUCCCUGCCGUUUUUGUAGUGAGAUGUUUGGCUUGAGACAGCCUGCAGAUGCACAGGAGCCACGUUGGAAUUAUGGCAACUGCGCUGAAGCUGAAAGUUUGAGUAACUUGCUUAGAGAGGAAGAAGUUAGAGAGCGAGUCCAAAGAAUUGGAAACUGGACAGAAGAAAACCAGGAAAGGGUUAGAGAUGAUGUUAGGAAUCAGCUUCGAAGAUACCUGGAGUGGGUUGACUUUGCAUGGGACAACCAGUUCUACACUGCACAAAGAGCAGCAGCUUAAGAUACUCUGUGAAUUGAAUGCUGCUACAUGUAAAAGAUGAAGAGCAGAUACUAACAAUGACUCAACUGUAAAGUCGCAAACAUCUGAGAAAUGUCAACAGUUGGGAAUGGGAAAUCAUUUUUAAUCUUUUCUGCAAAAUUUCAAAGCAUAAAUUUUAUUUGGAAAACAAUUAUUGUGGUUAAAAAUGUCAUUUAUUGUGCAUUCCAGGCUGUUGGAAUAAUUUUAAGGCUUAUUAUGCUUUAUUUGUUUUACAUUGUCUUAUAUUAUCAUCUUUUUAUUUACAUUUUAAUGGUGCGCUUUAAGAGUUUUGAAGUGUUUGCAGAAAAGGAAGCUGUGAGAAGCAGCCUGCUGAGGAGUGGAAAGGAGAGUACCAUGAAUGAGACGUUCUGGAGCUCUUUAUCCAGAUGAACUGAAAACUGAUUUUCUUAUCUUAUGAAAUAUGCUUUUGAAGGUUGUAUAGUUAAGUUCUGUGCAUUUGAGUGUGCAGCUGUGCUUUACUCCCCAUACCUUUAGAGCUGCACGCUGUGAUGUAACAAGGGCGUUCCUAAUUAUAAUAAAAGCAGGAAGGGGGCUCAGUUGAAGCUUCAGAACAUAGGCCAAAAUCUGUCACUGGGUUUUGACUGUGUCCUCCCUGCAGGUAAAACUGAAUUCUGACUCUUGUUCUCUUCUUUGGGUCUGUUUUCAGGUAUUGAAACCUAACACAUACUUAGCCUCUCAUUAUGGCAAAUCAGUUGAAACGGCCAUGUCUCUCUGAGCCACAUUUAUCUUUUUGCUUUGUGGUUCUUCACUGCAUAAUCAAGAUGUGUCUCUGCACUGUUACUUAUAUUUUGUACACUGUGUCUCUAGUUAUCUUUUCAUGUAUUUCCUUUGAUUUAUUCUGUCCUAAAGCACUUUGGAACAAUGUUAUUGUAGGAAGAACUUUGUUGGUUAGUAAUAACUAUUUCUGUGGCAAAGUCAUGCAUAUUUAUGAAAAUCCAAUAAAAGCUUUACGAUUCAGGUCUUUGGUCUCA